UAUACGAUUUCCUUAGUAGCGGCGAGCGAACAGGGAAAAGCCCAGCACUGAAGCCCGUAAUCGGUAACGGUUACAGAGCAAUGUAGUGUUUGGGAGAGCCCGUUUAACCUAAGCAAUAUAUAAGUGAGUUCAAGUCCUUCUUGAAGGGGGCCAUUUUCCCAUAGAGGGUGCUAGGCCCGUAGUAACCAUUUAUAUGUUUAGGUGGGUUUCUCCUUAGAGUCGGGUUGCUUGAGAGUGCAGCUCAAAGUGGGUGGUAAACUCCAUCUAAGGCUAAAUAUGACUACGAAACCGAUAGCGAACAAGUACCGGGAGGGAAAGUUGAAAAGAACUUUGCAGAGAGAGUUCAAGAGUACGUGAAACUGUUCAGGGGUAAACCUGUAAUACCCAAAUAGUUCGAAAGAGGUGAUUCAUUUGUCUAUCCGUAUAUAACCAUAUUUCAGUAUAUAGACAUUUAUAAAUCAUUUACGAUUUUUAAUCGUAUUUGUUAUAUUAUAUAUGCUAUUCUGAUUUAUGUAUAGUUUAUAUUCGGUGGCAUGCACUUCAUCUCUAGUAGAGCGUCGUAACUCAUUAGAUAUAUUUAUUAUAAUUUGGUGUUUAAGGUUCACAAUGGAGACCGUGGCGUUCAUUUUAUUUUUUAUUAAAUAUUAUGUGCGACCCGGACUUGUGUUAUCCUGACACUCUAUCUGAUGGUAUAUAUAUGAAAAUGUAAAUCACUAUAAUAGUGUUAUUAUUACUAUAACAAAUAUUUAAUAUUGUUUUGUAAAAAAUGGAUAAUGAUGCCGUUUUUACGCAUAUUGUAUUGUUGGUUAUAGUAUACUUGAACUGAUUUGAUCUAACAUUUGUUUACGACGUAUAUGUAUUGGGUAAUUACAGGACCCGUCUUGAAACACGGACCAAGGAGUCUAGCAUGUACGCAAGUCAUUGGGUAUAUAUAAUAUUUUUACUUGUAAAAAUUUAUAUAUAUUAAACCUAAAGGCGAAAUGAAAGUGAAAUUCUCAAUUUAUUUUGGGAUAAGGGAAGAUGGGUAAUAAUAAAAAUAUUACCUCGCACUCCCUGGGCGUCACAUAUAACUUAUUGCAAGUUGUGGCGCACCAAGAGCGUAUACGCUGGGAC
Molecule: ribosomal RNA, 1113 nt
Filed under: Brachinus hirsutus
Lineage: Eukaryota; Metazoa; Arthropoda; Insecta; Coleoptera; Carabidae
Description: eukaryotic LSU rRNA
Rfam family: Eukaryotic large subunit ribosomal RNA
Source: RNAcentral